UUGUUCAGACUGUACGUGCGGCCAAAUCCUCACGCCUGCCGCGUGCUCCUGCCUAACAAUAAACAAUACCGAUAACCACUAACUUCACCCCCUCUGAUUGUAUGUGUGACCACCCUGUACUGACUGAUAAUUGUAAACUUCGUCCCCAGUGACUUUGAGACGUUUCUGUUGGACGUUGUAACGUGUCGUUGUGCCAAGGUAAACCAGACUGGUGUAAGUGUGAUGGUGUCUGCUUAAAUAUCAAAGAGAAUUCGUCUAACAUAGCCCCUCCUACCUUAAGGCAUGCCUGGUCCAGAGAAUUAGCAUACCUAUCCGGAUGGUUAACACAAAACCAGUAAUUAGUUAAGAUAAAACGAUCUUUACAUGUCUAUGACUUCUUGAAUCCAGAGU
Molecule: long non-coding RNA, 390 nt
Organism: Anoplophora glabripennis (Asian longhorned beetle)
Lineage: Eukaryota; Metazoa; Arthropoda; Insecta; Coleoptera; Cerambycidae
Exons: 3
Source: RefSeq, a predicted model, not a curated record